Solanum pennellii is the source of this 1369-nucleotide long non-coding RNA. RefSeq lists it as uncharacterized. The transcript has 2 exons. NCBI's taxonomy places the organism in Eukaryota, Viridiplantae, Streptophyta, Magnoliopsida, Solanales, Solanaceae. The record is from RefSeq and is a predicted model, not a curated record.
UAUACUUUUUAUCAUUUUUUUUCCUUUUGGUGAUUUGACAAUGAAACACACUCGACAAUGCUUUAAAAGAUGAUUAAGCUUAACAAAUUUCAAAAAGAAAAAAAAAAGAAUUUUGAAGUCACUAACAAUUAGGUGCUUCACUCAUUAAUCCGACAAAGUGCAUCAAGUUGAUGAUAGUCGUGGUCUAGUCGUGGUCUAAUGACCAAUCUGCCCACCCGUAGCCCCUAGAGCCGGUGCCCGCUCUAAAUGGAAUGAAUCUCUUAGUUACGCUACACUCCAACCUGAGUCCCCAUAGCGUUUUUCUUGUAUUGGUUGCUCCAUAUAAACAGUCAGAGUCAAUAAACCAUUAAGAAAGGCAUUGUUAAUGUCAGACCAAUGAAUAUGCCAUUCAUAAGAUAAGGUAAUAAGGGAAAACACCAGUCUAACAGUUGUAGGAUGAACCAGUUGAUUGAAUGUCUCACCAUAGUCCACACCAUAAGAGUAUGUAUAACCUUGGCUACCAAACGAGCCUUACAUCGAUCAAGAGAGUCAUCAAUUUUCUACUUAACCUGACAACAGUGCUAUCAAAAGCGAAAAGCCCAAAAUAGCUCUAAGGUCCAUUGAAAUUUUAAGUACAAAGCGCAAAUAAAGCUCAAAUUUAUUUCAAAUGGUGCAUCUAGCAAGUCUUAUUAUUAAUGGAUCAGCUUUGUUCUCGUUCUUUUAGUUACUCCGACAGUUUUGCUUUUGCUGCUUUAUGUUUUAUGCUCUUAAAAAGGAGUCCUAAGUGAUUUAAGGGUCUCAACUGAAUACAAUCACAUGAAAACAGAUUGACUGCUGAGGCAACUGGAUAAUGUUCUGCAAGAGGUGUGAAGCAUGAAAAGAUAGAUAGGAAUAACAGAAACAGACCUCAGGCUUGUGAACCUUGAAAAACGGAUGGUGGUUAUCAGGUGCAACAUUCCUCUGUGAUAUUCAGCCAAUAGACAAAAAACCAUCUCUCAGUUAGGCCAUUCACGGAAUUACCUGACAGAAUGCUACAUGGAUCCUUGUGGUGGAUCUCUUCACUUUAGCAAUGAAAACACAUCAGCUCUCUCCUUUCUGGCUGCCAAGUAGUCAAAACAUAAUAGGAAAAUACCCAACUUCCAAACCCAGGAUAUAGCCAUUUGCCUCAUGUAUUGCCAACUUUAUCUCCUACAGACUGGUGAACCACAAGUGAUGCAGGAAUCAGGUUGCCUGAAUAGUACAAAAUGUUAUAGCAGAAACAGGUACUUGAUAAACCAAUGAACAGUUGAAAUAUGCAUUAAAAGGUUGGACUGUUGGUGUUGUAAAAUAUCAAGUGCAUUAUCUUGAUCAAAUAUUCUUUUCAAAAAUCAAAAUUCAGGGCAUAUUAUAC